RNAcentral lists this RNase P RNA (336 nucleotides) under bovine gut metagenome. Its description in RNAcentral is "Bacterial RNase P class A". It matches the Rfam family "Bacterial RNase P class A". From Rfam's summary of the family: Ribonuclease P (RNase P) is a ubiquitous endoribonuclease, found in archaea, bacteria and eukarya as well as chloroplasts and mitochondria. Its best characterised activity is the generation of mature 5'-ends of tRNAs by cleaving the 5'-leader elements of precursor-tRNAs. The record is from RNAcentral.
AACAGAUAAUCGCAGAUGCAGUACCGAAAGGAAGCAUAUGAGGAAAGUCCGGGCUUCGCAGGGCAGGAUGCCGGAUAACGUCCGGUGGAGGUGACUCCAAGGCAAGUGCAACAGAAAUAUACCGCCACUAUUGUGGUAAGGGUGGAAAGGCAGUUUAAGAGACUACCGCUGUGAUGGUAACAUUGCAGGCACAUGUAAACCCCAUCCGAAGCAAGACCGAACAGAAAACGAUUGGCGGCCCGUCAGGUUUUCGGGUAGGUUGCUUGAUUCUAUUGGCAACAAUAGAACUAGACAGAUGAUUAUCAAAAACAUAACCCGGCUUACAGUUCUGCUCAA